GAUGCCGCGUGAGUGAAGAAGGCUUUGGGUUGUAAAGCUCUUUUGUAGGGGAAGAUAAUGACUGUACCCUAAGAAUAAGGUCCGGCUAACUUCGUGCCAGCAGCCGCGGUAAUACGAAGGGACCUAGCGUAGUUCGGAAUUACUGGGCGUAAAGCGCGCGUAGGCCGUUGAGUUAGUUAAUUGUGAAAUCCCAAAGCUUAACUUUGGAACUGCAAUUAAAACUGCUCGACUAGAGUUUGAUAGAGGAAAGCGGAAUACAUAGUGUAGAGGUGAAAUUCGUAGAUAUUAUGUAGAACACCAGUUGCGAAGGCGGCCUUCUGGGUCAACACUGACGCUGAGGCGCGAAAGUAUGGGUAGCAAAGAGGAUUAGAUACCCUCGUAGUCCAUACCAUAAACGAUGAUUGCUAGAUGUUGGAAAUUUAUUUUCAGUAUCGCAGCUAACGCAUUAAGCAAUCCGCCUGGGGAGUACGACCGCAAGGUUAAAACUCAAAUGAAUUGACGGGGACCCGCACAAGCGGUGGAGCAUGUGGUUUAAUUCGAAGAUACGCGCAGAACCUUACCAACCCUUGACCAUUGUCUGUCGCGAGUUUAGGAAACUAGAUUUUCGGUUCGGCCGGCCGAACACAGGUGCUGAUGGUUG
This 640-nucleotide ribosomal RNA is filed under the name uncultured bacterium. RNAcentral's name for it is "bacterial SSU rRNA". It matches the Rfam family "Bacterial small subunit ribosomal RNA", at positions 393 to 1051 of the family's 1533-position model. The record is from RNAcentral.